GCCGGGCAUGGUGGCAGGUGCCUGUAAUCCCAACUACUCAGGAGGCUGAGGCAGGAGAAUCACUUGAACCCAGGAGGUGGAGGUUGCAGUGAGCCAAGAUCAUGCCACUGCAUUCCAGCCUGGGUGACAGAGUGAGACUCUGUCUCAA
Non-coding RNA from Homo sapiens (human), 148 nucleotides. It matches the Rfam family "Metazoan signal recognition particle RNA". From Rfam's summary of the family: The signal recognition particle (SRP) is a universally conserved ribonucleoprotein. The record is from Rfam. NCBI's taxonomy places the organism in Eukaryota, Metazoa, Chordata, Mammalia, Primates, Hominidae.